RNAcentral lists this unclassified non-coding RNA (2111 nucleotides) under Hevea brasiliensis (rubber tree). Lineage: Eukaryota; Viridiplantae; Streptophyta; Magnoliopsida; Malpighiales; Euphorbiaceae. The record is from RNAcentral.
GAAUCUGAAUCCAAAAAAUAAGAGAGACAGAGAGCGAAUAGUAUGCGUUAAUGGCUCAGACCAAAUCGAGCUCAAGAGUCGAUCAAAGUCAAGUACCAAAUAAAUGGCCAGAAUUUCAAUGCGAGACCUCUUUCGAAUCAGACUCAGAAACACCUCUCUCAGCCAACACCGCCCUCCUGUUCUAGCCCCUCCCAAACAGAACUACCUCUUUUCAGCUCCAUACUCCUCUUCUUUUCCUUAUAUUAAAGAUAGGCCCAACUCUAUUUAUCACCCAAGUGUUGAACUUCUCAAAUCAUGUCAAAACACAAGACAUCUCUUUCAAGUCCAAUCUCAGUUGAUCACUCGUGGGCUAUUUCCCUUUUGGUCUUCUAGGCUUCUAAAACAUUAUUCAGAUUUUGGUAAUAUUGAUUAUACCAUUUUGGUUUUUAGAUAUAUUGAUUCGCUACGUACUUUUUGUGUAAAUAAUGUUAUUAAGGCAUACUCACUCAGUUCUAUUCCACAGCAAGCUGUGGUUUUCUAUUUUGAGAUGCUGCAAAUUGGGUUCUCUCCAAAUAGUUAUACUUAUGUUUCACUCAUUGGUUCUUGUGCAAAGAUAGGGUGUGCCCAAUCUGGGCAAAAGUGCCAUGGGCAAGCUUUAAUUAAUGGGGUUGAUCGUAUUUUGCCAGUUCAGAACUCAUUGAUUCAUUUCUAUGGUUGUUGUGGGCUUGUAGAAUUUGCUAGGAAGGUGUUCGAUGAAAUGACUCAAAGGGAUUCGGUGUCUUGGAAUUCAAUUAUUAAUUUGUAUGCGGGCAUUGGCGAGUUGGGUGUUGCUCAUGACAUUUUUGAUGUAAUGAUCGAGAGAAAUGUCAUUUCAUGGAAUACCAUGAUUAAUGGAUACUUGAAGGGUAAUAACCCCGGGUGUGCAUUGAUGCUAUUUAGGAAAAUGAUGAAUAGUGGAUUGCGAGGAAACGAUAGAACUAUAGUUGGUGUGCUUAGCGCUUGCGGUAAAUCAGCUAGGCUAAAAGAAGGACGUUCUGUUCAUGGCUUUUUAAUCAGAACGUCCCUGAAAUUGAGUAUAAUUCUUGAUACAUCUUUGAUAGAUAUGUAUAGUAAAUGCCAGAAGGUGGAACUGGCACGGAGAAUUUUUGAUAGCAUGUUACAUAAGAAUUUGAUUUGCUGGAAUGCAAUGAUUUUGGGCCAUUGCAUUCAUGGAAAUCCAGAAGAUGGGCUUAAUUUAUUUGCAGAAAUGAUAUCAGGAGAUGGAGAAGCCAUUCCCGAUGAAGUUACUUACAUAGGGCUUCUUUGUGCAUGUGCUCGAGCAGGAUUGUUGACGGAGGGCAGAAACUUUUUUAGCCAAAUGAUGCAUAAGUAUAGUCUAAAGCCAAAUUUCGCACAUUACUGGUGCAUGGCUAAUCUUUAUGCCGGUGUUGGCCUAGUUCAAGAAGCAGAAAAUAUACUAAGGAACAUAGCAGAGGGUGAUGAGAAUGUGUUAUCAGAAUCCUUGGUUUGGGCUAAUUUGCUCAGUUUAUGCCGUUUCCAAGCAAAUGCCACUUUUGGAGAAAGGAUAGCAAAAUGUCUAAUAAAUAUGGAACCUUGGAAUUUCUCGCACUAUCGGUUGCUGCUCAAUGUCUAUGCUGUGGCAGGUAAAUGGAAUGAUGUUGCUAGGGUAAAAGAGAUGGUGAAAGGAAGAAGGAUGAGAAGAAUGCCAGGGUGUAACCUUGUGGACUUGAAAGAAAUUGUUCACAAUUACAGAGUGGGGCAUUGUUUGCAAGAGGGAAUUGAAGAAAUCAACAUGAUGAUAGAUGAAGUGGCUGAAAGACCAAGUUCGUGAAUUGCUGGUUGAGAACAACGGACACUGAGCAUGUCAUGCCAUGUACUGGAACUUGACCUCAAAGGCUACGUGGGUGAGGAAGGUAUUGAUAUCCCUCUGCUAAAGCAAUUCCUGAAAUAGGCAUACCUUCUCAUUUCGUCAGCGAGAAUGUUUUAUUAAUAAAAAUUUUGUAGUUGGUUGAUAAGGAUAGUAGUAGGUCAUUUUUUGAACUUGAUAAAAGGGCUUGUCAAGAAAAAAAGUUCCAUUAACAGAAUGGAAUUGUAACCACACGAUUCCAAUUGAUUAAAGAUUCAAACACAAG